AACGAACGCUGGCGGCAGGCCUAACACAUGCAAGUCGAACGCUCCAGCAAUGGAGAGUGGCAGACGGGUGAGUAACGCGUGGGAACCUACCCUUUGGUUCGGAAUAGCCCAGGGAAACUCGGGGUAAUACCGAAUAAGCCCUUACGGGAAGAUUUAUCGCCAUUGGAUGGGCCCGCGUCGGAUUAGCUAGUUGGUGAGGUAACGGCUCACCAAGGCGACGAUCCGUAGCUGGUCUGAGAGGAUGAUCAGCCACACUGGGACUGAGACACGGCCCAGACUCCUACGGGAGGCAGCGGUGGGGAAGUUUUGCGCAAUGGGCGAAAGCCUGACGCGAGUAACGCCGACGUGGAGGAUGAAGGCCU
Molecule: ribosomal RNA, 362 nt
Filed under: uncultured bacterium
Lineage: Bacteria
Description: bacterial SSU rRNA
Rfam family: Bacterial small subunit ribosomal RNA
Source: RNAcentral